UCGGAUGUGGUGUAUGGUGCACGCCUGCUGCUCAUUUGUAUUGUGUAUUAGUUGUGGCGGGAGGCCUGAGUUCGACUCUCAGCAUCCGAA
Mycena haematopus is the source of this 90-nucleotide non-coding RNA. The record is from the annotation of a GenBank genome assembly. Lineage: Eukaryota; Fungi; Basidiomycota; Agaricomycetes; Agaricales; Mycenaceae.